GGGAAACUGCCUGAUGGAGGGGGAUAACUACUGGAAACGGUAGCUAAUACCGCAUAACGUCGCAAGACCAAAGUGGGGGACCUUCGGGCCUCAUGCCAUCAGAUGUGCCCAGAUGGGAUUAGCUGGUAGGUGGGGUAACGGCUCACCUAGGCGACGAUCCCUAGCUGGUCUGAGAGGAUGACCAGCCACACUGGAACUGAGACACGGUCCAGACUCCUACGGGAGGCAGCAGUGGGGAAUAUUGCACAAUGGGCGCAAGCCUGAUGCAGCCAUGCCGCGUGUGUGAAGAAGGCCUUCGGGUUGUAAAGCACUUUCAGCGGGGAGGAAGGCGGUGAGGUUAAUAACCUCAUCGAUUGACGUUACCCGCAGAAGAAGCACCGGCUAACUCCGUGCCAGCGGCCGCGGUAAUACGGAGGGUGCAAGCGUUAAUCGGAAUUACUGGGCGUAAAGCGCACGCAGGCGGUCUGUCAAGUCGGAUGUGAAAUCCCCGGGCCCAACCUGGGAACUGCAUUCGAAACUGGCAGGCUAGAGUCUUGUAGAGGGGGGUAGAAUUCCAGGU
This 559-nucleotide ribosomal RNA is filed under the name uncultured bacterium. RNAcentral describes it as "bacterial SSU rRNA". It matches the Rfam family "Bacterial small subunit ribosomal RNA", at positions 120 to 674 of the family's 1533-position model. The record is from RNAcentral.